GUGGAGGUGUGUGUGUGUGUGUGUGUGUGUGUGUGUGUGUGUGGAGGUGUGUGUGUGGAGGUGUGUGUGUGUGGAGGUGUGUGUGUGUGUGGAGGUGUGUGUGUGUGUGUGUGUGUGUGUGUGUGUGGAGGUGUGUGUGUGUGUGGAGGUGUGUGUGUGUGUGUGUGUGGAGGUGUGUGUGUGUGUGUGGGAGUGUGUGUGUGUGUGUGGAGGUGUGUGUGUGUGUGUGGUGGUGUGUGUGUGUGUGGAGGUGUGUGUGUGAGUGUGUGUGUGUGUGUGGAGGUGUGUGUGUGUGUGUGGAGGUGUGUGUGGAGGUGUGUGUGUGUGUGUGUGGAGGUGUGUGUGUGUGUGGAGGUGUGUGUGUGUGUGGAGGUGUGUGUGUGUGUGUGUGUGGAGAGUGUGUGUGUGUGGAGGUGUGUGUGUGUGUGUGUGUGUGUGGGGGUGUGUGUGUGUGUGUGUGUGUGUGGAGGUGUGUGUGUGUGUGUGUGUGUGGUGUGUGUGUGUGUGUGUGUGUGUGUGGAGGUGUGUGUGUGUGUGUGGGUGUGUGUGUGUGUGUGUGUGUGUGUGUGUGUGUGUGUGUGUGUGUGUGUGUGUGUGUGUGUGUGUGGAGGUGUGUGUGUGGAGGUGUGUGUGUGUGUGUGUGUGUG
Long non-coding RNA from Oncorhynchus tshawytscha (Chinook salmon), 647 nucleotides. NCBI's taxonomy places the organism in Eukaryota, Metazoa, Chordata, Actinopteri, Salmoniformes, Salmonidae. The record is from Ensembl.